RNAcentral lists this ribosomal RNA (497 nucleotides) under uncultured bacterium. RNAcentral describes it as "partial 16S ribosomal RNA". It matches the Rfam family "Bacterial small subunit ribosomal RNA", at positions 28 to 507 of the family's 1533-position model. The record is from RNAcentral.
GAUGAACGCUGGCGGCGUGCCUAAUACAUGCAAGUCGAGCGAACCGACGAGGAGCUUGCUCCUCUGACGUUAGCGGCGGACGGGUGAGUAACACGUGGAUAACCUACCUAUAAGACUGGGAUAACUUCGGGAAACCGGAGCUAAUACCGGAUAAUAUAUUGAACCGCAUGGUUCAAUAGUGAAAGACGGUUUUGCUGUCACUUAUAGAUGGAUCCGCGCCGCAUUAGCUAGUUGGUAAGGUAACGGCUUACCAAGGCAACGAUGCGUAGCCGACCUGAGAGGGUGAUCGGCCACACUGGAACUGAGACACGGUCCAGACUCCAACGGGAGGCAGCAGUAGGGAAUCUUCCGCAAUGGGCGAAAGCCUGACGGAGCAACGCCGCGUGAGUGAUGAAGGUCUUCGGAUCGUAAAACUCUGUUAUUAGGGAAGAACAAAUGUGUAAGUAACUAUGCACGUCUUGACGGUACCUAAUCAGAAAGCCACGGCUAACUACGUG